Molecule: ribosomal RNA, 705 nt
Filed under: uncultured Escherichia sp.
Lineage: Bacteria; Pseudomonadati; Pseudomonadota; Gammaproteobacteria; Enterobacterales; Enterobacteriaceae
Description: bacterial SSU rRNA
Rfam family: Bacterial small subunit ribosomal RNA
Source: RNAcentral
AUUGAACGCUGGCGGCAGGCCUAACACAUGCAAGUCGAAUGGUAACAGGAAACAGCUUGCUGUUUCGCUGACGAGUGGCGGACGGGUGAGUAAUGUCUGGGAAACUGCCUGAUGGAGGGGGAUAACUACUGGAAACGGUAGCUAAUACCGCAUAACGUCGCAAGACCAAAGAGGGGGACCUUCGGGCCUCUUGCCAUCAGAUGUGCCCAGAUGGGAUUAGCUAGUAGGUGGGGUAACGGCUCACCUAGGCGACGAUCCCUAGCUGGUCUGAGAGGAUGACCAGCCACACUGGAACUGAGACACGGUCCAGACUCCUACGGGAGGCAGCAGUGGGGAAUAUUGCACAAUGGGCGCAAGCCUGAUGCAGCCAUGCCGCGUGUAUGAAGAAGGCCUUCGGGUUGUAAAGUACUUUCAGCGGGGAGGAAGGGAGUAAAGUUAAUACCUUUGCUCAUUGACGUUACCCGCAGAAAAAGCACCGGCUAACUCCGUGCCAGCAGCCGCGGUAAUACGGAGGGUGCAAGCGUUAAUCGGAAUUACUGGGCGUAAAGCGCACGCAGGCGGUUUGUUAAGUCAGAUGUGAAAUCCCCGGGCUCAACCUGGGAACUGCAUCUGAUACUGGCAAGCUUGAGUCUCGUAGAGGGGGGUAGAAUUCCAGGUGUAGCGGUGAAAUGCGUAGAGAUCUGGAGGAAUACCGGUGGCGAAGGC